RNAcentral lists this unclassified non-coding RNA (198 nucleotides) under uncultured Rhodotorula. Its description in RNAcentral is "sequence contains ITS2". The record is from RNAcentral. Lineage: Eukaryota; Fungi; Basidiomycota.
AACUCUCAACCCCCCUGUUUUGUAACGAGAUAGGCGUGGGCUUGGAUUAUGGCUGUCUGUCGGCGUAAAGUCGGCUCAGCUGAAAUAUACGAGCAACCCAUUUGAAAUAGACGGUUUGACUCGGCGUAAUAAUUAUUUCGCUGAGGACGUCUUCUUUAAAGUCAGUGGUGCUUCUAAUGCGUAUUAUACAUCAUAAGC